UACGUAGGGUGCAAGCGUUAAUCGGAAUUACUGGGCGUAAAGCGUGCGCAGGCGGUGAUGUAAGACCGAUGUGAAAUCCCCGGGCUCAACCUGGGAACUGCAUUUGUGACUGCAUCGCUGGAGUGCGGCAGAGGGGGAUGGAAUUCCGCGUGUAGCAGUGAAAUGCGUAGAUAUGCGGAGGAACACCGAUGGCGAAGGCAAUCCCCUGGGCCGGCACUGACGCUCAUGCACGAAAGCGUGGGGAGCAAACAGG
RNAcentral lists this ribosomal RNA (253 nucleotides) under uncultured bacterium. RNAcentral's name for it is "partial 16S ribosomal RNA". It matches the Rfam family "Bacterial small subunit ribosomal RNA", at positions 524 to 776 of the family's 1533-position model. The record is from RNAcentral.